GCCGGGUGCAAUGGCACAUGCCUGUAAUCCCAGCAACUUAGGAGGCUGAGGCAGGAGGAUCAAGAGUUCAAAGCCAGCCUCAACAGAUCAGCGAGGCACUUAGCAACUCAGUGAGAUCUUGCUUCUA
Molecule: small RNA, 127 nt
Filed under: Marmota monax (woodchuck)
Lineage: Eukaryota; Metazoa; Chordata; Mammalia; Rodentia; Sciuridae
Source: RNAcentral